CAUACAUCCGGCACAUCCAGUAAAUCCAGUAGAACUGCAACCAGCAGAAACUGAUCCACAAUGUAUAGAAAUGUGUCAGACUAACAUAGCACCUGAAAAAUGUCACUGUGCUGAACAUUUAUGUGAUAUACAACAGUGUCUUGGUGUUGAAGUAUGCCGUUUAGUUAGGGAGAGAGGUAUGGUGGAAGCUUUAUGUUUACCAGUUGAUUCCGGUACUGGUCAAGCUGCUGGCCAAAGUCAUGGAAUCCAUCACACGACAGGUUGUGGAUUACCAAUGGAUGUAGGUAUACCAUGUGGAGGACCUUCGACUACUGCGUACUAUUUUGAUGUUAUGACC
Patella vulgata (common limpet) is the source of this 337-nucleotide long non-coding RNA. RefSeq lists it as uncharacterized. Lineage: Eukaryota; Metazoa; Mollusca; Gastropoda; Patellidae. The record is from RefSeq and is a predicted model, not a curated record. The transcript has 3 exons.